GCCCUCCGAGACGGUAACGUCAGUCAAUUAGUGCUGUGCCUAAACGCGGUCGCCCAUUGCGCGAGUUCUGUGUUCUCGCUGUACUUCUCGACGAUUUACUGAACCGGGUUCGUUUCUUUGGUUCGAGUGCAAAGGACUUCUUGGUUUCUAGGUUUUCCUAGGUGUGCAACAGGUUUGCCCUUGAAUCUGCUCACUGGUGAAGUGGCAGGUUGAAUCACCACCGGGUGCACGGCUACUUGGCAGGAUCGGGGAGGGGGACCUGCUUUGGAGCGUGUCCACAGUGCCGCUGGAACUUGCUCUUCGCGUUGGUAUCGACCGUCAUCUCCAGUUCACAACAUUCUAUCCCCAGCUCGCGUCACCCCUCGAGUCAAGCCUGCGCCCUCUGUGCCCGGAAUUGCACGCGCGGUGCAUGUGGCUUUGCAGCGUGGAGAAUCCGUUAUGAAGGCUACGGAGAGAAACGGACACGCAAGGUGCACGGACGACAUGGAGAGGAAAGUGGUGUCUCACAGGCGCCAGUACUGCUGCAGGACUUUUGCGAGCGUCCUGUCCUUGAUGUUUUCAGUCGUGUCUCUCGCCUACUGCGUUUUUCUAAGUGUGCAAACAUCCGAGAUUAAAGAGCGUGUGGCGGAACUGGAAAACGGGAACGCAGAGCUUCUGUAUCGCCCGGUUCCCGGUUUUGCAUUGGAUAAGCUAAAUUCAAUGAUUCACGAUCGAGUCGAUCAACUUCUGUCACAGAGGUCCUAUGAACAUUUGGCCAAGAUGCGGGUAGCGAGACAAGCGCCGGCAGAUUGCAGCUGUCCUCCAGGACCCCCAGGAAAGCGAGGAAGAAGAGGCAAGGACGGCGAGCCAGGACCUUCCGUAAGUACCGCUGCUGUUGGGCCUUAGUGUGUGGCGUGUGUGCGUGACGUGUGGCUGAAGGUAAAGGACCCGCCAUUAUCGCUGUGAUCCAGAUCAGCGCACAGCCUGGAUCAACACAUUUGCUUGGACUGGUACAGUUCUGUGUGCUGCUUUUGUGCUAUAUGGAGGACUUGGGGGGGGGGGGGGCAAAAUGCAGUAAUAUUUGUGCAUAGAAAGGAUGAACCUUGAUCUUAAAUUCGUCACUAAUCGUCUCUUUCUCAAAGUUAUUCGCGUGUCCAUUUAUUUAAAUCUUGACUGAAGAGUCAUAAAGGGUUUUAAAUGAGGAUAGAUAGGUAUUGCAUGUCUGUAAGGUCAUUUAAUUCCAAGUCAGUUCAGUGCAAUUUUGCAAAGUGAGCUGCAAUUACAUGAAUCAUAGUUGCAAGUAACUAGCCUACUUAUCCAAUCGGGGAUUACCACCCAUAAGGAAACAGGAUGCAUUGCAAUACAUUGUAAAUAUGUAGACUUACAUGUGGACUUAAACAUAGUGUUAAAUUAACAUUAUAUUUUUAUGUCUUGUAAGAAGCAGGGUUGUUUUACUCUCAGAUGCUUAUUGCGACACACUGGCAGUUUUAUUCAUAAUGAAAUGCCUCAGACACCCAGUGCAGCUAAAAAACAAACAAACAAACAAAAAUGAAUCUGUCAUGUUUUGAUAAACAAGCACCUAUUAUCGUUUUUCUCCUGUACGAACAAUUACAUUUCUGAGCGGAAAGAAAUUGCAUUUUAAUUGGGCGGAAUCAACGCGCAGUGAAUCAUUUCGGUGCCCAGAGAACCUUCUUUUUUCACUCGACAGCCGAAAUUAAGCCUCGUUUUCAUUUUCUUGGUCUCAUUUUCAUGCCAGUAAAAAGUGGCUAUGUUCCUGUUUGAUUUAAAUAAAAUUCUCAUUUGAGUUUUGAGACCAAA
This is a long non-coding RNA of Anguilla rostrata (American eel), 1797 nucleotides long. RefSeq lists it as uncharacterized. The transcript has 4 exons. NCBI's taxonomy places the organism in Eukaryota, Metazoa, Chordata, Actinopteri, Anguilliformes, Anguillidae. The record is from RefSeq and is a predicted model, not a curated record.